CGUCAGUUUCAAAACGGAAUAAACUCGUGUCACGAAAAUGACAAACGCUAGGUCGAAAAGAUUAAUCGAAUCGAAUUUUUAUUUCUUUUCUUCUGUCGAAUUCGAUUCGAAUUUGAAAACAUCAAAAUUUCAAAUCGUUGCGGUAACUAAUAUUCUUAAAAUUAAAAUUGUGAAAUACUAAUAAACAUAAGUUAUUAAAAGAAGUGCAUAAAAAUAUUUUGAGGGAACGAAUAUAAUAUUCAAAAUCAAAAAAUGGAGUCCAUGCCUUCAGAUGCUGAAUCUAAUGUCAGCGGGUUUAUUAGAUACAGCGACAAAAAGUUUAAACAUCUGUAUAAAUCCAUGAUUCAGAAUAUGGAAAUAAUUAACCAGGACAUUAUACAAGUUGAAAAGAACAUGAAGAAUAUUGUAGAACAGGCUGGCCCUCUAGAAACUCAGUUAUCUGCUCUAUUGCACACACUGCCCAAGCCUAACCUCACACUGCCUAUGGAGACUGAAUGAAAAUAAUUACUAAUCUCAUUUUUUUAAUCCUUGUUGUUUCAAUUUAAGACAGUUGUUACAUUAGGGAGGAUACAGAUCUUCAACAGAAUUUAACACCAUUCUCCUUCGAACUUGAGAAGAUUCAACUACUACAGUAACUAUAUUUUUUUUGAGAGAGAAUCAAAAAAUAAUCCUGAUUUGUAAAAAGUGUAACUGCUUUUCUGUGACACAUUCAUCAAAAUCUACAGUUUUGAUUUUAUCAAGAUGGAAGAAGACAAAUCAACUGAUUUAAGAUACAUUAUUUUGACUGUCAUUUAUUCAUUUGUCCUUUAACUAAAAUGUUUGAUUAAGUUAAUAAAACAGUGCUCAGGGCCCCAAAGUAACGAAUGUUCUCCUAGUAUGUUCUGUCUCAAUCACUGCCUUGACAAUCACUGCCUUCUGUAUCUGAUCCUUGGUCCAGCAAUUAAGGGAUAAUUAAUGUAUUUAAUUAUCAUAAUUGAAAUUAAGUGAAAAAUCAUUAUUUUUAUGUUUUUAAUCAAUAAAAUACUAACACACAGACUUGUUGACACUUGUGUGUCUAGGUUUAACUUUUAGAAAUAAAAAUGUUGCAAUUGGUUUAAUAUAAUAUAAUGUUUUUGUAAUAUAUAAAAUGUUUAGCUUUAAUUUAAUUUUAUAAAUUAUUAUUUUAAGUUUAUACUCUUGAAUAUAGAUAUUGUUAAUUUACAAUCAUAAAAUAAUAGUAAGGAUAUUAUUUUAGUAUAUACCUAUAAUGGUUUAAUUAUAUUAUAUAAGCAAUUGAGCAGUGUUUAAUGAUUUUAUUCUGUAAUGAGUAAAUAAAUGCACAAAAAUUGGUAA
Molecule: long non-coding RNA, 1332 nt
Organism: Bicyclus anynana (squinting bush brown)
Lineage: Eukaryota; Metazoa; Arthropoda; Insecta; Lepidoptera; Nymphalidae
Exons: 2
Source: RefSeq, a predicted model, not a curated record